GCGGAAAUAGCUCAGUUGGUAGAGCAUAACCUUGCCAAGGUUAGGGUCGCGAGUUCGAGUCUCGUUUUCCG
Molecule: transfer RNA, 71 nt
Filed under: Bacteroides clarus
Lineage: Bacteria; Pseudomonadati; Bacteroidota; Bacteroidia; Bacteroidales; Bacteroidaceae
Also listed under: 1 other name
Description: tRNA-Gly
Rfam family: tRNA
About the family: Transfer RNA (tRNA) molecules are approximately 80 nucleotides in length.
Source: RNAcentral